This 253-nucleotide ribosomal RNA is filed under the name uncultured bacterium. RNAcentral describes it as "partial 16S ribosomal RNA". It matches the Rfam family "Bacterial small subunit ribosomal RNA", at positions 524 to 776 of the family's 1533-position model. The record is from RNAcentral.
UACGUAGGGUGCAAGCGUUGUCCGGAAUUAUUGGGCGUAAAGAGCUCGUAGGCGGUCUGUCGCGUCUGCUGUGAAAACUCAGGGCUUAACCCUGAGCUUGCAGUGGGUACGGGCAGACUAGAGUGCGGUAGGGGAGACUGGAAUUCCUGGUGUAGCGGUGAAAUGCGCAGAUAUCAGGAGGAACACCCGUGGCGAAGGCGGUUCUCUGGGACGGUACUGACGCUGAGACGCGAAAGCGUGGGGAGCGAACAGG